GCUGUGUUCAAGUACAACACAAACAGCAAUAGCAAUGGCGUUACUGCCAGAAACGGGUAGCCAAUUUUGAAACUGCCAAAUGAUUCAGAAUUUGUGGGGGGCGUAACGAUAACAAACGAGUUGGAAGCCUUGAAAUUAAGCGCCAUUACGACUUUAGCAGACGAGAAAAGAAUACAUUUUGCAGACGAUGUGUUACGCCAAAGCAGAUCCAUCAAAUCGACGGGGAAACUUCAAUCCAAUUCGUCCGAGCUGCAAACCCAAAUUCAAUCAGCUGAUUGCUGCACACAUACUGUUCGCCUGGACGUGAUCAAAACAAAAAGAAAAAACCUUGUCUUGACGGCUUUUUCAUCGCUGCAAUGGCCGUUGCUAAUUGAAGAGAAAGUCGCAGUUCAAAGUCGGCCUGUUAUUUGGCCUCUAGUUUUCCCUCGCCACUCAAAACGUCUUGCUAAUUCCGCCGAAUGUUGACAGACGGGAGACGUGGAAAGAGAAUUCCUCCUUGUUCCAGCAUCGUAGCUACGCGUUCCUGCGAAUUGUUUGCCGCCCAUUAAACGACCAUGUCUGACGACCUCAUAAAAGGACUCGUCGGCUCUUUCAUUCACAAUUCCCACAAGAACAAAGGGACUUCACGGAUUAAAUACCCUGUUUGUUUUUUCAUUUGUCUUGUCAUCCGACAUUUCCAGGAUACGAGUCAACACCACCACCAACAAUGUCAUAAAUCGGAACGGUUCGUCUCACGUAGAUAAAAACCUUUGCGGAAUAUUCAACGAAUCAAAAUCUGGCAAUUGUUGUUUUUAUCGACUCUAUUUUGAAACCAACAUUAUAACCGAAAUUUAAAUAGCCUCGGUUUAUGCAAGACAUAGUGCCCUUGUGGAGAGCUGUACUCAUCACAUAUAGCGACUCUUAAAAGACAAAUAUCAAAGCUGAAUUCUCCUAUAGAAAAAAAUAUUUAGUGUAAAAUCUCCUAUUUAAAAUAUUAGUGUAUGGUGAAACGAAAUGAAAUUUCUACGAACAGAA
Molecule: long non-coding RNA, 1014 nt
Organism: Daphnia magna
Lineage: Eukaryota; Metazoa; Arthropoda; Branchiopoda; Diplostraca; Daphniidae
Exons: 4
Source: RefSeq, a predicted model, not a curated record